UCCCUUCCCGAACUCAGAAGUGAAACCUCUUAGCGCUGAUGGUAGUGUGGGGUUACCCAUGUGAGAGUAAGUCAUCGCCAGCU
RNAcentral lists this ribosomal RNA (83 nucleotides) under Acinetobacter sp. Lineage: Bacteria; Pseudomonadati; Pseudomonadota; Gammaproteobacteria; Moraxellales; Moraxellaceae. RNAcentral also lists the same sequence under 14 other names. The record is from RNAcentral.